UACGAAGGGGGCAAGCGUUGUUCGGAAUUACUGGGCGUAAAGGGCGCGUAGGCGGCUCUUCAAGUCAGGCGUGAAAGCCCCGAGCUUAACUCGGGAAUUGCGCUUGGGACUGAAGGGCUUGAGGACGGGAGAGGUGCGUGGAAUUUCCAGUGUAGAGGUGAAAUUCGUAGAUAUUGGAAAGAACACCGGUGGCGCAAGCGACGCACUGGCCCGUUUCUGACGCUAAAGAGCGAAAGCGUGGGGAGCAAACAGG
Molecule: ribosomal RNA, 253 nt
Filed under: uncultured bacterium
Lineage: Bacteria
Description: partial 16S ribosomal RNA
Rfam family: Bacterial small subunit ribosomal RNA
Source: RNAcentral